Salvelinus sp. IW2-2015 is the source of this 252-nucleotide long non-coding RNA. RefSeq lists it as uncharacterized. Lineage: Eukaryota; Metazoa; Chordata; Actinopteri; Salmoniformes; Salmonidae. The record is from RefSeq and is a predicted model, not a curated record.
GAAGAGGAAGAUGUGGUGUCUUCGGUCAGGAACUUUCUCCUCCAUGUCGCCCUGCUCCGAGUCACACAAUAUGUUCUCAGAAGCUGGACAGCAUAUGAAUAGAAUCCAUCUUCUCUCACCCUCACCCUCAAGACCUACAUCACAAGAUGCUUCAGAAAAACAACAACUGUAACGAAUGUCGCCGGGAUAGGAGAAGAGGACCAAGGUGCAGCGUGGAACAACCAUGACAACAACAACAACAACAAGCUGGUG